RNAcentral lists this ribosomal RNA (489 nucleotides) under uncultured bacterium. RNAcentral describes it as "bacterial SSU rRNA". It matches the Rfam family "Bacterial small subunit ribosomal RNA", at positions 30 to 517 of the family's 1533-position model. The record is from RNAcentral.
AUUGAACGCUGGCGGCAUGCCUUACACAUGCAAGUCGAACGGCAGCACGGGAGCAAUCCUGGUGGCGAGUGGCGAACGGGUGAGUAAUGUAUCGGAACGUACCUUUCAGUGGGGGAUAACGUAGCGAAAGUUACGCUAAUACCGCAUAUUCUGUGAGCAGGAAAGCAGGGGAUCGCAAGACCUUGCGCUGAUUGAGCGGCCGAUAUCAGAUUAGCUAGUUGGUGAGGUAAAGGCUCACCAAGGCGACGAUCUGUAGCGGGUCUGAGAGGAUGAUCCGCCACACUGGAACUGAGACACGGUCCAGACUCCUACGGGAGGCAGCAGUGGGGAAUUUUGGUCAAUGGAGGCAACUCUGAACCAGCCAUGCCGCGUGUAGGAAGAAUGCCCUAUGGGUUGUAAACUACUUUUAUUGGGGAAGAAACCCUUCUACGUGUAGAAGGCUGACGGUACCCAAGGAAUAAGGACCGGCUAACUCCGUGCCAGCAGCCG